UUAGGAAAUAUUCUGCGUCGCCGGAAUCCGACUUACUUCCGUCUGUUUUGGUCACUGUUAUCUCACCGAAAUUUAAGUCGUGUGGAUUUUUAGUUUUCUACCCAAUUUUUGAAGCUUUGGGUUCGUCUAUUUUAGUGAUUCGAGAUCAAAAUCGAACUUUGAGUUCAUUAGUCAUCGUUCUGGGUUCGGUUUUUUGGUUCU
This 201-nucleotide long non-coding RNA is filed under the name Capsicum annuum. RNAcentral describes it as "long non-coding RNA (CANN_LNC018354)". The record is from RNAcentral. Lineage: Eukaryota; Viridiplantae; Streptophyta; Magnoliopsida; Solanales; Solanaceae.